RNAcentral lists this microRNA (21 nucleotides) under Sarcophilus harrisii (Tasmanian devil). RNAcentral describes it as "Sha-Mir-383-v1_3p* (star (passenger))". The record is from RNAcentral. RNAcentral also lists the same sequence under 1 other name. Lineage: Eukaryota; Metazoa; Chordata; Mammalia; Dasyuromorphia; Dasyuridae.
CCACAUCACUGGCUGGUCAGA